ACAGUUUUAUUAUUAUAUCAACAUUUUGUUCGUAUUUCCAUUUCAAUCACCCUGUUUAUAACUUUUCUAUUCUGUGGUAGUCACCUUUUGUAACCUUCACAUUCGUUUAUUUCCGUACCUGCCCGUUUUAAUGUUGUAUAUUUCUGUUAUUGGUCUAAAAGCCAAUUUCCGCUUUAGAUAACCUAUGUAAUUUGAUACCGUAACCAUAUAUGGUAUUGUAAGCUUCGAUUGACCGCGUUAUUGGUCGGAGCAAAACAUCGUUGUUUCAUUGGGGCCGGAAAUGGAAAAAUUCAGCGUGUUUUACUUGCUAACCCGAAGAGAACGGUCGUGCGGUUCAUCCUGAUUUAAGUGCUAAUUUAGUUCCUGUUCAUUUGUUUUCAACAAUUUGGCGAAAGCAUCUUUAAAAACAAGUGAACCAUCAUUGUACCUGCCAUUUCUUUUUGGCAUGGUAACCAUUUAAUCCGAAAGGAGUUCUUCUAAAGGAACGUAAGCAUAAUUGGGACCAUUCUGACAACGAUCGUAGGAUAACUUCCAUUCACUUUCGUACGUUCACGAAGCUCUUUUAUUUUCCGUUGACUCUCUCCAUGUAGAGAGUUCACGUAUUGGGGUCAAGAACUACGAUCCGACUGUUUACCUGUGAAACGAAACUAUAGACCACAUUGUGUGCGG
Long non-coding RNA from Photinus pyralis (common eastern firefly), 669 nucleotides. RefSeq lists it as uncharacterized. The transcript has 3 exons. The record is from RefSeq and is a predicted model, not a curated record. Lineage: Eukaryota; Metazoa; Arthropoda; Insecta; Coleoptera; Lampyridae.